RNAcentral lists this ribosomal RNA (496 nucleotides) under uncultured bacterium. RNAcentral describes it as "bacterial SSU rRNA". It matches the Rfam family "Bacterial small subunit ribosomal RNA", at positions 30 to 518 of the family's 1533-position model. The record is from RNAcentral.
AUUGAACGCUGGCGGCAUGCUUUACACAUGCAAGUCGAACGGUAACAGGUCUUUCGGGAUGCUGACGAGUGGCGAACGGGUGAGUAAUGUAUCGGAACGUGCCCAGUAGUGGGGGAUAACUACUCGAAAGAGUGGCUAAUACCGCAUGAGAUCUCUGGAUGAAAGCGGGGGACCGUAAGGCCUCGCGCUACUGGAGCGGCCGAUAUCAGAUUAGGUUGUUGGUGAGGUAAAGGCUCACCAAGCCGACGAUCUGUAGCUGGUCUGAGAGGACGACCAGCCACACUGGGACUGAGACACGGCCCAGACUCCUACGGGAGGCAGCAGUGGGGAAUUUUGGACAAUGGGCGCAAGCCUGAUCCAGCAAUGCCGCGUGCAGGACGAAGGCCUUCGGGUUGUAAACUGCUUUUGUACGGAACGAAAGACCUUCUUCUAAUACAGGGGGUCGAUGACGGUACCGUAAGAAUAAGCACCGGACUAACACGUGCCAGCAGCCGAC